CAGAGACUGCAAGCGUUAUUCGGAUUCACUGGGCGUAAAGGGUGCGCAGGCGGCCGUGUGUGUUGGGCGUGAAAGCCCGGGGCUUAACCUCGGAAUUGCACCCAAAACUACAUGGCUAGAGCAUUGGAGAGGGUAGCAGAAUUCAUGGUGUAGCAGUGAAAUGCGUAGAUAUCAUGAGGUAUACCAGAGGCGAAGGCGGCUACCUGGACAAUUGCUGACGCUCAGGCACGAAAGCGUGGGGAGCAAAAGGGAUUAGAUACCCCUGUAGUCCACGCCCUAAACGGUGCACACUAGGUCUUGGCGGAUUCGACCCCCCCAGGGCCCCAGCUAACGCGUUAAGUGUGCCGCCUGAGGACUACGGCCGCAAGGCUA
RNAcentral lists this ribosomal RNA (372 nucleotides) under uncultured organism. RNAcentral describes it as "bacterial SSU rRNA". It matches the Rfam family "Bacterial small subunit ribosomal RNA", at positions 526 to 896 of the family's 1533-position model. The record is from RNAcentral.